UGGGGAAUAUUGCACAAUGGGCGCAAGCCUGAUGCAGCCAUGCCGCGUGUGUGAAGAAGGCCUUCGGGUUGUAAAGCACUUUCAGCGGGGAGGAAGGCGAUAAGGUUAAUAACCUUGUCGAUUGACGUUACCCGCAGAAGAAGCACCGGCUAACUCCGUGCCAGCAGCCGCGGUAAUACGGAGGGUGCAAGCGUUAAUCGGAAUUACUGGGCGUAAAGCGCACGCAGGCGGUCUGUCAAGUCGGAUGUGAAAUCCCCGGGCUUAACCUGGGAACUGCAUUCGAAACUGGCAGGCUAGAGUCUUGUAGAGGGGGGUAAAAUUCCAGGUGUAGCGGUGAAAUGCGUAGAGAUCUGGAGGAAUACCGGUGGCGAAGGCGGCCCCCUGGACAAAGACUGACGCUCAGGUGCGAAAGCGUGGGGAGCAAACAGG
RNAcentral lists this ribosomal RNA (429 nucleotides) under Chloroflexota bacterium. RNAcentral's name for it is "Chloroflexi bacterium partial 16S ribosomal RNA". It matches the Rfam family "Bacterial small subunit ribosomal RNA", at positions 355 to 776 of the family's 1533-position model. The record is from RNAcentral. Lineage: Bacteria; Bacillati; Chloroflexota.